UAGCUCCUGGCGCCUCAGAUCAGAUUAAUCUGCUCGUCAUUAAUGAUGUCAGAAAAGCAAGCAAUGUCAUCAUCGGCGCCAUGACCCAAGAUCAAUUAAAAGAGACCAAGUAAAAGUAGACGGACGGAUCGAAGUGGGUAAAAAAGAAGGAAGGAUAUCUGUGUGGUACGUAACAGAAGGCAGAGAUGAACGUACAGCAGCGUUCCAGAAACCAACCAAAGCCAAAGUAAAGCAAAUCGUCGUGCAUGGGAUUA
Molecule: long non-coding RNA, 254 nt
Filed under: Hordeum vulgare
Lineage: Eukaryota; Viridiplantae; Streptophyta; Magnoliopsida; Poales; Poaceae
Description: long non-coding RNA (HVUL_LNC011041)
Source: RNAcentral